AUUGAACGCUGGCGGCAGGCUUAACACAUGCAAGUCGAGCGAGCGGCGGACUGGCGAGUAAUGUCUUCGCACCUGCCUGAUCUCGCGGGCUAACUACUGUAAACGGUAGCUAAUACUGCAUACCAUCCUUUGUUCCCAGAUGGGAUUAGCUAGGAGGUGGGGUAAUGGCUCACCUAGGCGACGAUCCAUAGCUGGUCCGAGAGGCUGACCAGCCACACUGGAACUGAGACACGGUCCAGACGCCUACGGGAGGCAGCAGUGGGGAAUAUUGCACAAUGGGCGCAAGCCUGAUGCAGCCAUGCCGCGUGUGUGAAGAAGGCCUUCGGGUUGUAAAGCACUUUCAGCGAGGAGGCGUUACUCGCAGAAGAAGCACCGGCUAACUCCGUGCCAGCAGCCGCGGUAAUUC
Molecule: ribosomal RNA, 406 nt
Filed under: uncultured bacterium
Lineage: Bacteria
Description: partial 16S ribosomal RNA
Rfam family: Bacterial small subunit ribosomal RNA
Source: RNAcentral